This is a long non-coding RNA of Symsagittifera roscoffensis, 543 nucleotides long. RefSeq lists it as uncharacterized. Lineage: Eukaryota; Metazoa; Xenacoelomorpha; Acoela; Convolutidae. The record is from RefSeq and is a predicted model, not a curated record. The transcript has 2 exons.
GAUGAGCGUUUCUUUGCAUAUAAGCAGAAAUGUUAUAAUUAGAAGCUGUAAAUGUGAUAAAUAUGGUAUGGUAAUGGCGCAGAUCAGUAGUAGCAGGCGAAUAGCAGCUAACUACUCUCGUUGGGUUGGUGACAGUGUGACUUCAUUCAGACAGAGAACGAACUCCCAGACAGUUAAAAACAACAACAAAAAUAACAACAGCAGUGAUACAUCACAACACGCAAUAUGGAGUGAUGCACUUAAUGAGUGGCCUGAUUUCUCUUACGUUGUCAAUGGAAGAGGACCCAAGCAAUCCAUGGCCGCACUGGAAGAGGAAUAUGCCAACUACUCAAUCGGACUUGAAAUAAUUCGACUGAACAGAACACUAGAGAAUCUCAAAGAAGAACAUCAAAGGAAAACUCAAUUAGAAAACACGCCAAAGCGACAUAGUUUAAAAGAGAAAAAUAUCGCAUUUGACUAGUUAUAUAUUUUUUGCUUUCUCUAAACGCUUUCACUAUGAGGAUGUUAUUUUGAUACGAGAUAAUACAUCAAAAAAGUAAACUG